RNAcentral lists this ribosomal RNA (694 nucleotides) under uncultured bacterium. Its description in RNAcentral is "bacterial SSU rRNA". It matches the Rfam family "Bacterial small subunit ribosomal RNA", at positions 59 to 749 of the family's 1533-position model. The record is from RNAcentral.
CAGUCGAACGGAGCACCCCUGAAGGAGUUUUCGGACAACUGAUGGGAAUGCUUAGUGGCGGACGGGUGAGUAACGCGUGAGCAACCUGCCUUGGAGUGGGGAAUAACAGCUGGAAACAGCUGCUAAUACCGCAUAAUAUGUCUGAACCGCAUGGCUCUGGACAUUAAAGAUUUAUCGCUCUGAGAUGGACUCGCGUCUGAUUAGCUAGUUGGUGGGGCAACGGCCCACCAAGGCAACGAUCAGUAGCCGGACUGAGAGGUUGGCCGGCCACAUUGGGACUGAGACACGGCCCAGACUCCUACGGGAGGCAGCAGUGGGGAAUAUUGGGCAAUGGGCGCAAGCCUGACCCAGCAACGCCGCGUGAAGGAAGAAGGCUUUCGGGUUGUAAACUUCUUUUCUCAGGGACGAAGCAAGUGACGGUACCUGAGGAAUAAGCCACGGCUAACUACGUGCCAGCAGCCGCGGUAAUACGUAGGUGGCAAGCGUUAUCCGGAUUUACUGGGUGUAAAGGGCGUGUAGGCGGGAAAGCAAGUCAGAUGUGAAAACCAUGGGCUCAACCUGUGGCCUGCAUUUGAAACUGUUUUUCUUGAGUACUGGAGAGGCAGACGGAAUUCCUAGUGUAGCGGUGAAAUGCGUAGAUAUUAGGAGGAACACCAGUGGCGAAGGCGGUCUGCUGGACAGCAACUGACGCUGA